Molecule: ribosomal RNA, 494 nt
Filed under: uncultured bacterium
Lineage: Bacteria
Description: partial 16S ribosomal RNA
Rfam family: Bacterial small subunit ribosomal RNA
Source: RNAcentral
GACGAACGCUGGCGGCGUGCUUAACACAUGCGAGUCGAACGGUGAAGCGCCUUCCUUUUUGGUGGGUGUGGAUGAGUGGCGAACGGGUGAGUAACACGUGAGUAACCUGCCCCCUUCUUCUGGAUAACCGCAUGAAAGUGUGGCUAAUACGGGAUAUUCUGGGUCUGUCGCAUGAUGGGUCUGGGAAAGAUAUUGUUUCGGUGGGGGAUGGGCUCGCGGCCUAUCAGCUUGUUGGUGGGGUGAUGGCCUACCAAGGCGGUGACGGGUAGCCGGCCUGAGAGGGUGGACGGUCACACUGGGACUGAGACACGGCCCAGACUCCUACGGGAGGCAGCAGUGGGGAAUAUUGCACAAUGGGCGCAAGCCUGAUGCAGCGACGCCGCGUGAGGGAUGGAGGCCUUCGGGUUGUGAACCUCUUUCGCCAGUGAAGCAGGCCUGCCUCGUUUGUGGGUGGGUUGACGGUAGCUGGAUAAGAAGCGCCGGCUAACUACGUG